GCCCAGGUGGUGGAAUUGGUAGACACGCAGGUCUCAGAAGCCUGUGCCGCGAGGCGUGCUGGUUCGAGUCCAGUCUUGGGCACCA
RNAcentral lists this transfer RNA (85 nucleotides) under Actomonas aquatica. Its description in RNAcentral is "Opitutus sp. WL0086 tRNA-Leu". It matches the Rfam family "tRNA". From Rfam's summary of the family: Transfer RNA (tRNA) molecules are approximately 80 nucleotides in length. Their secondary structure includes four short double-helical elements and three loops (D, anti-codon, and T loops). Lineage: Bacteria; Pseudomonadati; Verrucomicrobiota; Opitutia; Opitutales; Opitutaceae. The record is from RNAcentral.